UUACGUCAUUCUGCAGCUUGGUGAUGAGACUAUCGAGAACAUCAGACGGGAGCACAGCAAUACACUGGCAGACAGAAGCCUUGCAGAAAGGAGCAAGUCUGACAAAGCAACAGAGUUCUUGGUAGUGAACCUAAAAUCAUCAUAUCUUGUCCGCCGCCUGAUUUUACAAGGCAUCAACACGGACAUCGUGGAGUUAGCGAUACGCGCAAGACUUAACAGCACGGGGUUGGUAGACGUGCUGGACGAGCAAGACCUACGCAGGGCGCUAGGCGAAGUCGUGUCUUUACCACAAAACGUCAGAACAAGGGAAGUUCCAAAAGCUGAUACAGGUGACUUGAGCAAGUGCAUCAUCUGCAAGACGGGAGACAGACACAUGAUAUUCCUUCCAUGCAGUCAUCUUGUCUCCUGCACUGGAUGUGCCACAUCCAGCACCGUCUGUCCCUCAUGCGAGCGCAAGAUCGCAACCACGAGGGAGGUUUUCUUGGCCUGAAAACAUGGAAAAGUGAUGGUACGUAACAGACCAGCACUGGCUAUUACGUGGCAUUGCACCUCUCAACAACCGACACACGCCGGCGAUGACCCGACAUCACAGGAACACAUCGAGAAAACUGACAGAGCUAUUAGACAGGUUUAAACUCCGACGUGCGACUUGCAACGCGAACGGUGGAUGAAGAACGUUCUCCGUUGGACUGCCACUAAAUACCAGAAAAAAAGGUUCGACGACGCCAGGGCACACCCGCGUGCACCUCUGAUAGCUCUGAUAGCUGACGAUGUGCGAAGUGUGCGUAGCGAGAGGUGCUGAGCACGCGGUACCACCACUGGAUGUCGACUGCCUCACGACGUAAAGCCACGAAUCAUUAUACAUAUUUUUAUUAUUGCUAUUAUUAUUAAUUGGAGAGCACGACAUUCCGGCGCAGGUAGGCUUUUAUUGGGUAAGAACCUGUAUACAGUGUGUCCCAGCUAAGUGCGAAUAUAUUUAUAAAUACAAAUUAUAUAUUAGGGAAUUGGGGAUAUUAGGGAAUAUUAGAGAAUUAUAUAUUAGGGUGCAGGGAAGUGACACGAUCUUGGGUCGGCACCAACAGUGCGUCUCGGCGAGACGUACCCGUGGAACAUUGACGUCUCGCCGAGACGCACUGUUAGUGCCGACCCAAGGUCACUUGCCUACGACGCGCUGACGGGUUCCAAGUAGGAUGAAACAGCUGUACUCGGCUGGGAGUGCACGAUCAAAUUGUAAACAUAUGCUCAAUGUGCAGCCAUAGGGCAAGAUCGUGUCACAUGCCCCUACGCCGCGCUGACGAGUCCCAAGUAAGACGAAACAAUUUCAAACACGUCUAGUGUCAUUUACCCGUUUUUUAAUGACUUUUAUCCCCUCAUUAUAAUUCACUGGCUUGCACUGUGGCAUUGAGGAGUGCUCAGUCACGCUCUCCGGUGUAUAUCGCUCGCUGAAUGACCCCUGGUUUGCCAAUUCCGAACGAUGCGCAGCUACCCAGAGCUGACGAGCCGCAAACACGGCGAAACACGUGUCCUCUGGUGCUGUCGGAUCGUUCCAUGACUAUCUAUAUAUAUAUAGAUACUUAUAUACUACUUAUACUAUACUUAUAUAUAUAUAUAAUAUUUGUAUAUAUAUAUAUAUAGAGAGAGAGAGAGGAAAAACCGAAGAAGGCGGAGCUUCCGCCGAAACGUAGACUUCCCCAGACCCUUAGUAUAAAUGCCAACUUAAUAAAUAACUUUCCCCCACUCCCUACUUCAGUCUUUGGUGUCUUUUUUCCUCUAUCUAUAUACAACAUCCUGGUCGUUCGAACCUCCAUUUUUUAGCGUAUAUAUAUAUAUAUAUAUAUAUAUAUAUAUAGAACAAAUAGGUUAAUGUAUCAGACGGCUACGAAGUUGAAUGAAAGUGAAAUAAUAA
Long non-coding RNA from Ornithodoros turicata, 1906 nucleotides. RefSeq lists it as uncharacterized. NCBI's taxonomy places the organism in Eukaryota, Metazoa, Arthropoda, Arachnida, Ixodida, Argasidae. The record is from RefSeq and is a predicted model, not a curated record. The transcript has 3 exons.